RNAcentral lists this ribosomal RNA (253 nucleotides) under uncultured bacterium. Its description in RNAcentral is "partial 16S ribosomal RNA". It matches the Rfam family "Bacterial small subunit ribosomal RNA", at positions 524 to 776 of the family's 1533-position model. The record is from RNAcentral.
UACAUAGGGUGCGAGCGUUAAUCGGAAUUACUGGGCGUAAAGCGUGCGCAGGCGGUUAUUUAAGACAGAUGUGAAAUCCCCGGGCUCAACCUGGGAACUGCGUUUGUGACUGGAUAGCUAGAGUAUGGCAGAGGGGGGUGGAAUUCCACGUGUAGCGGUGAAAUGCGUAGAUAUGUGGAGGAACACCAGUGGCGAAGGCGGCUUCCUGGACUAAAACUGACACUGAGGCCCGUAAGCGUGGGUAGCAAGCAGG